RNAcentral lists this ribosomal RNA (496 nucleotides) under uncultured bacterium. RNAcentral's name for it is "partial 16S ribosomal RNA". It matches the Rfam family "Bacterial small subunit ribosomal RNA", at positions 29 to 507 of the family's 1533-position model. The record is from RNAcentral.
AUGAACGCUGGCGGCGUGCCUCAUACAUGCAAGUCGAGCGAACGGACGAGAAGCUUGCUUCUCUGAUGUUAGCGGCGGACGGGUGAGUAACACGUGGAUAACCUACCUAUAAGACUGGGAUAACUUCGGGAAACCGUAGCUAAUACCGGAUAAUAUUUUGAACCGCAUGGUUCAAAAGUGAAAGACGGUCUUGCUGUCACUUAUAGAUGGAUCCGCGCUGCAUUAGCUAGUUGGUAAGGUAACGGCUUACCAAGGCAACGAUGCAUAGCCGACCUGAGAGGGUGAUCGGCCACACUGGAACUGAGACACGGUCCAGACUCCUACGGGAGGCAGCAGUAGGGAAUCCUCCGCAAUGGGCGAAAGCCUGACGGAGCAACGCCGCGUGAGUGAUGAAGGUCUUCGGAUCGUAAAACUCUGUUAUUAGGGAAGAACAUAUGUGUAAGUAACUGUGCACAUCUUGACGGUACCUAAUCAGAAAGCCACGGCUAACUACGUG